This is a long non-coding RNA of Populus euphratica (Euphrates poplar), 103 nucleotides long. RefSeq lists it as uncharacterized. The record is from RefSeq and is a predicted model, not a curated record. Lineage: Eukaryota; Viridiplantae; Streptophyta; Magnoliopsida; Malpighiales; Salicaceae. The transcript is spliced from 3 exons.
UUUUUAAUUAAUACACAAUUAAUAGAAAAGCACUUCUCUUCAAGAAAGCUGAAUCAAACUAAGCUGCUCGAGCAGCUUGAACAUUUAGAAUUUUCCUACAGCC